This 378-nucleotide unclassified non-coding RNA is filed under the name plant metagenome. RNAcentral describes it as "partial contains 5.8S ribosomal RNA, internal transcribed spacer 2, and large subunit ribosomal RNA". The stretch from base 1 to 105 matches the Rfam family "5.8S ribosomal RNA", at positions 50 to 154 of the family's 154-position model. The record is from RNAcentral.
GAAAUGCGAUAAGUAAUGUGAAUUGCAGAAUUCAGUGAAUCAUCGAAUCUUUGAACGCACCUUGCGCUCCUUGGUAUUCCUUGGAGCAUGCCUGUUUGAGUAUCAUGAAAUCUUCAAAGUAAAUCUUUUGUUAACUCAAUUGGUUUCUACUUUGGUAUUGGAGGUCUUUGCAGCUUCACACCUGCUCCUCUUUGUUCAUUAGCUGGAUCUCAGUGUUAUGCUUGGUUCCACUCGGCGUGAUAAGUUAUCUAUCGCUGAGGACACUGUAAAAGGUGGCCAAGGUAAAUGCAGAUUAACCGCUUCUAAUAGUCCAUUGACUUGGACAAUACUUUUAUGAUCUGAUCUCAAAUCAGGUAGGACUACCCGCUGAACUUAAGC